RNAcentral lists this ribosomal RNA (253 nucleotides) under uncultured bacterium. Its description in RNAcentral is "partial 16S ribosomal RNA". It matches the Rfam family "Bacterial small subunit ribosomal RNA", at positions 524 to 776 of the family's 1533-position model. The record is from RNAcentral.
UACAGAGGUCUCAAGCGUUGCUCGGAAUCACUGGGCGUAAAGGGCGCGUAGGCGGAUCUUUAAGUCGGGGGUGAAAGCCCAGGGCUCAACCCUGGAAUUGCCUUCGAUACUGGAGAUCUUGAGACCGGAAGAGGUAAGUGGAACUGCGAGUGUAGAGGUGAAAUUCGUAGAUAUUCGCAAGAACACCAGUGGCGAAGGCGGCUUACUGGUCCGGUUCUGACGCUGAGGCGCGAAAGCGUGGGGAGCAAACAGG